AGAGAGAGACAUGCGCGCAUAUCAAUAAGCGGAGGAAAAGAAACUAACUAGGAUUCCCUCAGUAACGGCGAGUGAAGCGGGAAGAGCUCAAAUUUGAAAUCUUCAAGGUUCUACCUUGACGAAUUGUAGUUUAAAGAAGUGUUUUCUGUUGGAGUUUUGGUAAAAGUUCUUUGGAAUAGGACAUCAUAGAGGGUGAGAAUCCCGUAUUUGACCAUUAUUUCCAACUUUGUGAUACACUUUCAAAGAGUCGGAUUGUUUGGGAAUGCAGUCCAAAAUGGGUGGUAAAUUUCAUCUAAAGCUAAAUACUGGCGAGAGACCGAUAGCGAACAAGUACCGUGAGGGAAAGAUGAAAAGAACUUUGAAAAGAGAGUUAAACAGUACGUGAAAUUGUCAAAAGGGAAGCGUUUGACACCAGUGUUGUUUUCUCGAAAAUCAAUUAAAAAUGGCGGGAUUUUGUGUUGUAUUGACCUUUAUCAAGCUUUCUUCACUUUUUUCCUGUCUUUUUUAAUGCACUUUUCGUUUAACAAGUCAACAUCAGUUUCCUUUGUUGUAAAAGGGUCAUUGGAAGGUGGCUUUCCUUUCGGAGAAAGUGUUUAUAGCCUUUGAUCUUCUGCAAUCGGAGAGAUUGAGGUCUGCAGCGUAGACUCCUUCGGGGUUAGAUACAUUUGUGCUAAGUUAUAGCCUUUUCAUAGACAACUUGUUGACUAUGAUUCAGUCAUGUAGGCUUACUCGCUUAUGUCAUUUACCUACGCUUAGGAUGUUGACAGCAGUAUAGACUG
Molecule: ribosomal RNA, 779 nt
Filed under: uncultured Neocallimastigales
Lineage: Eukaryota; Fungi; Neocallimastigomycota; Neocallimastigomycetes; Neocallimastigales
Description: partial large subunit ribosomal RNA
Rfam family: Eukaryotic large subunit ribosomal RNA
Source: RNAcentral